Podarcis lilfordi (Lilford's wall lizard) is the source of this 73-nucleotide non-coding RNA. NCBI's taxonomy places the organism in Eukaryota, Metazoa, Chordata, Lepidosauria, Squamata, Lacertidae. The record is from the annotation of a GenBank genome assembly.
GCUGGGAUAGCUCAGUCUGUAGAGCAUGAGGCUUUUAAUCUCAGGGUUGUGGGUUCAAGUCCCACAUUGGGCA